RNAcentral lists this ribosomal RNA (468 nucleotides) under uncultured bacterium. RNAcentral describes it as "bacterial SSU rRNA". It matches the Rfam family "Bacterial small subunit ribosomal RNA", at positions 28 to 480 of the family's 1533-position model. The record is from RNAcentral.
GAUGAACGCUGGCGGCGUGCCUAAUACAUGCAAGUAGAACGCUGAAGCUUGGUGCUUGCACCGAGCGGAUGAGUUGCGAACGGGUGAGUAACGCGUAGGUAACCUGCCUCUUAGCGGGGGAUAACUAUUGGAAACGAUAGCUAAUACCGCAUAAAAGUCGAUAUCGCAUGAUAUUGAUUUGAAAGGUGCAAUUGCAUCACUAAGAGAUGGACCUGCGUUGUAUUAGCUAGUUGGUGAGGUAACGGCUCACCAAGGCGACGAUACAUAGCCGACCUGAGAGGGUGAUCGGCCACACUGGGACUGAGACACGGCCCAGACUCCUACGGGAGGCAGCAGUAGGGAAUCUUCGGCAAUGGGGGCAACCCUGACCGAGCAACGCCGCGUGAGUGAAGAAGGUUUUCGGAUCGUAAAGCUCUGUUGUAAGAGAAGAACGAGUGGAGAGGGAAAGUUCACACUGUGACGGUAACU